This 72-nucleotide transfer RNA is filed under the name Ovis aries (sheep). It matches the Rfam family "tRNA". Rfam says of the family: Transfer RNA (tRNA) molecules are approximately 80 nucleotides in length. The record is from Rfam by way of RNAcentral. Lineage: Eukaryota; Metazoa; Chordata; Mammalia; Artiodactyla; Bovidae.
UCCCUGGUGGCUUAGAUGGUAAAGCAUCUGUCUACAAUGCAGGAGACCUAGGGUUGAUCCCUGGGUUGGGAA